This is a non-coding RNA of Acanthosepion pharaonis, 91 nucleotides long. Lineage: Eukaryota; Metazoa; Mollusca; Cephalopoda; Sepiida; Sepiidae. The record is from the annotation of a GenBank genome assembly.
UUCUGGUUCUCAUACGAUCACCGAAGUUAAGCAACAUUAAAUCUGGUCUGUACCUAGAUGGGUGACCACUUGGGAAUACCAAGUGUUGUGA